UCGCCGCCCACUUGCUUGUCUCCCCACGCUCGGCGCUCGGCGCUUUGUUAUAGAGCAGCUGAUCCGCUGACAUCACCCUGGGCUGGGGCUGCUCCCUGACUGACAGCUCCCCGCGCAGCCCCAAAAGCAGGGCCCGCCGCCGCCGGUGCAGCAGGAGGAACAGGCGAGGCAGAGCACGAGGGUCGAGCUUCGCCGUCGGCGCUGCUUAGUCUCUCCCUGGUAUCCACGCGCGGGAAAGAAGCUCGGGGCGGGAAAGAAGAGCUUCACUAAGGACUAGGUUGCGCCACGCAGCGCAGCGGGAUGGCGGCGUGCGCGGAAAGGCGCGCACACACUCCAGCUGCCGCGGCCCGCGAGGAAAAGCGAGCAGAAACACGCUGGAGAGGAGCCGGAAGGAAGCACCUCAUGGGCCAAGGCGCCCAUUCUAGAGCCGCUUUCCUGGGACUAAGCCCCAUUGGAGCUCAGGUUUUAAAACAAAACACAGUGGAACAACUGCACAAUCUUUCCAUGUGUGAAUGACCCAUCACAAAGCUGUGAGCCUGACCAUAGGUAGAAGCCAUCUUCUGGAGGCUUUUCCGGGGUGCUCUCACUUUUAAAGGUUGUUUUUUACAGGAGCAAUGUCGCCACCUUUUUUGCGUCCCUCAAACAGAGUCAACCAAAUCAGGUGCCCCUUCCUUUGUAUCGGCAUCUGUCUCUGCAAUGUCCUGACACUACAACAGUUCCAGUAGAACUGUGGUGGAAAGUUUAUUGUUAUGGGGCAGCCAGUGCUUGCCAUGUGAAGACUACCAAU
This is a long non-coding RNA of Zootoca vivipara (common lizard), 787 nucleotides long. RefSeq lists it as uncharacterized. Lineage: Eukaryota; Metazoa; Chordata; Lepidosauria; Squamata; Lacertidae. The record is from RefSeq and is a predicted model, not a curated record.